Molecule: small nuclear RNA, 107 nt
Organism: Heterocephalus glaber (naked mole-rat)
Lineage: Eukaryota; Metazoa; Chordata; Mammalia; Rodentia; Bathyergidae
Source: Ensembl
GUGCUUGCUUCGGCAGCACGUGUACUAAAAUUGGAACGAUACAGAGAUUAGCACGGCCCCUGAGCAAGGAUGACAUGCAAAAAUUAGGUGAAAUUUAUAUAAAAUUU